Molecule: ribosomal RNA, 597 nt
Filed under: uncultured organism
Description: bacterial SSU rRNA
Rfam family: Bacterial small subunit ribosomal RNA
Source: RNAcentral
UUGGAUAGCAUGCUAUUCAGUGGCGCAGCUAACGCAGUGACCAUCCCGCUUGGGACGCACGGCCGCAAGGCUAAUACUCAAAGAACUCGACGGGGGCCCGCACAACCGCUGGAGCAUCUGGUUCAAUCCGAGGCAACGCGAAGAACCUUACCAGCCCUGGACAUCCCGUCGCGGAUCCAGAGAUGGAUCGUUCGGUUCGGCCGGACGGCGACAGGCGCUGCAUGGCAGUCGUCAGCUCGUGUCGUGAGAUGUUGGGUUAAGUCCCGCAACGAGCGCAACCAUUGUCCCCAGUUGCCAGCAUUAAGUUGCGCACUCUACGGGAGACUGCCAGUGAUAAGCCCCCCGCAAGGCCCGGGAUGACGUCAAGUCAUCAUGGCCCUUACGGGCUGGGCUACACACGUGCUACAAUGGUGCUGACAGUGGGCAGCUACUCCGCAAGGAGAUGCUAAUCUCUAAAAGCCACCUCAGUUCGGAUUGCACUCUGCAACUCGGGUGCAUGAAGUUGGAAUCGCUAGUAAUCGUGGAUCAGCACCCACAGGGUAUACGCUCCCGGGCAUUGUACACACCGCCCGUCACACCAUGGGAGUUGCUUUUACC